RNAcentral lists this ribosomal RNA (379 nucleotides) under Spirosperma ferox. Its description in RNAcentral is "partial 12S ribosomal RNA". It matches the Rfam family "Bacterial small subunit ribosomal RNA", at positions 875 to 1415 of the family's 1533-position model. The record is from RNAcentral. Lineage: Eukaryota; Metazoa; Annelida; Clitellata; Tubificida; Naididae.
UCCCAGCUUAAAUUUACGCCGGAUAAUACAAACCCCUAUUUAAAAUUCAAAGAUCUUGGCGGUGUCUUACUCUAUCAGGGGAACCUGUCCCUUAAUUCGAUAAUCCACGAAUGACCUACCUUCUCUAGAAACCUCAGCUUGUGUACUGCCGUCGCAAGUGUACCUCAAAGAGAUAGUACACAGUAAUAAUUCUCUUAUCGACGUCAGGUCAAAGUGCAGCUUAUGAAAAGGUGGAGAUGGGUUACAUUUUACAUAUUAAUUCUGAACUCACUAAAUAAUGGCGACAAAAGCUGGACUUGAUAGUAAUAAUUAAAACUUAAUUAAUAUGAACAGAAAUCUAAGACAUGCACACAUCGCCCGUCACUCUCGCCGAAAGGUG